AGCAAACCUGCCAAGUUGGAUCCAAGACGAGCUAAACGGGGAAAAUAUUUUGAAGCUUAAAUAUUGAAGCACUUGGGCCAAGUACAUGGACCAAGAAAUUCGCACAAAUGGGCCAAUCACCAGUAAGCGGACCAAGCCCUUCACGAGGACCCGCCAGCGCGCAUGGCCUGCCUUCAACGCCAACUCCACCUUGCACAUGGGCCAUGCAAAGCUCAAUCCACGCACAUGGACCCCAUCAUGGGCCCGCGCUCCACGCUCCCACACCGCCAAUGCAAUUCACAUGAC
This 285-nucleotide long non-coding RNA is filed under the name Manihot esculenta (cassava). RNAcentral describes it as "long non-coding RNA (MESC_LNC012011)". Lineage: Eukaryota; Viridiplantae; Streptophyta; Magnoliopsida; Malpighiales; Euphorbiaceae. The record is from RNAcentral.